UACGAAGGACCCGAGCGUUAUCCGGAUUUAUUGGGUUUAAAGGGUGCGUAGGCGGAUUUACAAGUCAGUGGUGAAAUCUCCCAGCUUAACUGGGAAACUGCCAUUGAAACUGUUUAUCUUGAGUACAUUUGAGGCGGGCGGAAUGUGUCAUGUAGAGGUGAAAUUCUUAGAUAUGACACAGAACACCAAUUGCGAAGGCAGCUCGCUAAACUGUAACUGACGCUGAGGCACGAAAGCGUGGGGAUCAAACAGGAUUAGAUACCCUGGUAGUCCACGCCCUAAACGAUGAUUACUCGAAGUGUGCGAUACACUGCACGCCUCUGAGCGAAAGCAUUAAGUAAUCCACCUGGGAAGUACGACCGCAAGGUUGAA
This 372-nucleotide ribosomal RNA is filed under the name uncultured bacterium. Its description in RNAcentral is "bacterial SSU rRNA". It matches the Rfam family "Bacterial small subunit ribosomal RNA", at positions 524 to 898 of the family's 1533-position model. The record is from RNAcentral.